CAGGACUGAAGGGCGUGCAGGGAGAGCCAGGGCCUCCAGGAAGGGGAGUCCAGGGACCCCAGGGGGAGCCUGGAGCCCCGGGUUUGCCUGGCAUUCAGGGACUUCCGGGACCUCGGGGACCACCUGGCCCCACUGGAGAGAAGGGUGCCCAGGGAUCUCCAGGGGUGAAAGGAGCCACCGGACCCGUGGGACCUCCUGGGGCCAGUGUCUCUGGGCCUCCGGGCCGUGAUGGGCAGCAAGGACAGACGGG
Molecule: unclassified non-coding RNA, 250 nt
Filed under: Hevea brasiliensis (rubber tree)
Lineage: Eukaryota; Viridiplantae; Streptophyta; Magnoliopsida; Malpighiales; Euphorbiaceae
Source: RNAcentral